UACAUAGGGGGCAAGCGUUAUCCGGAAUUACUGGGUGUAAAGGGUGCGUAGGCGGUUAGGAAAGUCAGAUGUGAAAACCCAAGGCUCAACCAUGGGAAUGCAUUUGAAACUUCUUGACUAGAGUACAGGAGAGGUAAGUGGAAUUUCUAGUGUAGCGGUAAAAUGCGUAGAUAUUAGGAGGAACACCAGUGGCGAAGGCGACUUACUGGACUGAAACUGACGCUGAGGCACGAAAGCAUGGGGAGCGAACAGG
RNAcentral lists this ribosomal RNA (253 nucleotides) under uncultured bacterium. Its description in RNAcentral is "partial 16S ribosomal RNA". It matches the Rfam family "Bacterial small subunit ribosomal RNA", at positions 524 to 776 of the family's 1533-position model. The record is from RNAcentral.